Molecule: ribosomal RNA, 466 nt
Filed under: uncultured bacterium
Lineage: Bacteria
Description: partial 16S ribosomal RNA
Rfam family: Bacterial small subunit ribosomal RNA
Source: RNAcentral
GACGAACGCUGGCGGCGUGCUUAACACAUGCAAGUCGAACGGAAAGGCCUCUUUCGGGGGGUACUCGAGUGGCGAACGGGUGAGUAACACGUGAGUAACCUGCCCUUGACUUUGGGAUAACUUCAGGAAACUGGGGCUAAUACCGGAUAGGAGCUCCUGCUGCAUGGUGGGGGUUGGAAAGUUUCGGCGGUUGGGGAUGGACUCGCGGCUUAUCAGCUUGUUGGUGGGGUAGUGGCUUACCAAGGCUUUGACGGGUAGCCGGCCUGAGAGGGUGACCGGCCACAUUGGGACUGAGAUACGGCCCAGACUCCUACGGGAGGCAGCAGUGGGGAAUAUUGCACAAUGGGCGGAAGCCUGAUGCAGCAACGCCGCGUGCGGGAUGACGGCCUUCGGGUUGUAUACCGCUUUCGCCUGUGACGAAGCGUGAGUGACGGUAAUGGGUAAAGAAGCACCGGCUAACUACGUG